GGGUCAGUAGGUUGGUCGUGCCACCGGUACGUACUGGUCUCACUGAUUCCUCCUUCCUGAAGAACCGUAAUGCCAUUAAUUUGGUGUUGCGGGGGAACAGGACUGUUACUUUGAAAAAAUUAGAGUGUUUAAAGCAAGCUAACACUUGAAUACAUUAGCAUGGAAUAAUGAAAUAGGACGAUCGAUCAUAUUUUGUUGGUUUCUAGGAUUGACGUA
This 216-nucleotide ribosomal RNA is filed under the name Glomeromycotina sp. Its description in RNAcentral is "partial small subunit ribosomal RNA". The stretch from base 40 to 216 matches the Rfam family "Eukaryotic small subunit ribosomal RNA", at positions 686 to 864 of the family's 1831-position model. Lineage: Eukaryota; Fungi; Glomeromycota. The record is from RNAcentral.